UUCCACUGCUGUUGUAGCUAUUGUGAAUGGGCCCAGAAGGGGCUUAACAUUUGGUAUCACACAAACAAAUUAUGCUCCCUGAUCUAUGUUGGUUUAUACCAGUUGCAAACUGAAAACAACACAACCUAGAAGCACUCUACACCCCAAGCUCUUGUAAUAGUGAUUAUUCAGGUAGCCAAGCGUGGUACACAAUAGCAUCACAUCAUCUCAAUCCUUUCACUUCCUUUCCAGUUGUGCUUUAAAGCAGUGCACUUCUCCUCAUCCUGAGCUUUGCUUGGAUGUGGGAAAGUUUGAAAAUAUCCUCAGGUGGUCAUAUUUAUUGUCAGGCAUGCUCAGAUCAGUGAGGAGGUGGUUUAAGAACUGAGGUGAGGGAAAAGCUUAGCUUUCCAUAUGAGAUGUUAUUGGUAGUGGAAGAGCAGUCUGGAUAUUCUGCAACCGCUCUAUGUUGAUAGUGGGCACAGUGUUUGAAAGACAAUUUUUCUUUUUUUCCUGGAAACAAUAUUUAAAAGGAAUCUCCUUAUGGAUAAAGGGGAAAGGCUGAUCCUUCUUCAGUGGUUCCCAUGUAGGCACACCACAAGCUCACAGCUGGCAGCUGCUCUAUCAGCAGUGUUGGUGCUUCAGCAGCAAGACCCGAGUAAACAUACUGUUUGGAAUGAUGUCCAGUCCAAUGUAAAUCCUGAAAUAAGUAGGUACAAGGUCAUAGUUCUAGCAUGACUGAUGGAAUUGGAUAAAAAGUACUAAAUCAAAUUGGAGGGUGUGUACCUGGAAGACUGCAGCUAUGAACUUUGGCUGGUGAACUUCCAGGCAGCUGGGAGGAUCUGGAGGGAGGGCCAGUGGUGCUGCUGGGCUGUACUGUGAGUGGGACACACUGAUCAUCCGGCAAGACCUCUCUGCCAACAGAAACUGUCUUCCUUUCCACCCUCCAUGCUAUCAAACAUGCUUCAUGACAGAAGCUUACUUUGCCAGUGUGAGGGAAAAUAUCUGCUGCUACACUCAUGAAACCCUGUGUGGGCCCGUCUGUCCUCAGAACCAAAGAAGGCACUCCAGCUGGCUACAUGCUGGGUCCAAACGUCCUUUCUUUACUAUGAGUUCAGGACCUUGCUGAGGAAGAGGGGAGCAUCAGAGGUGAAAGAGUAGCAAAGACUGUGCUGGAAACCUCUUGGGGCAGGUCUCCUCAGCACUUUGUUUCUCAAGGCCACAUCUGGACAGUGGGGACAGCCAGGUUUGGGGGUUCGCAGUAUUAGGGCUGGUGGAAGGAUGGAGAUGAACCAGGGCAGGGUGUGCAGUUAGCAGUGUAAACAAGCUUGGCUCUGGUGGUGAAGUGGUAAGAUGUAUUUUUUUAAUUAUUGAGCUGUGUACACAUUAUGAAACCAUUACAGAACCAAAGAAUAUAACAUUCCAAAUUACAAAUACCAGCUUAUACAAAGGGGUAAUAAAAUAAAUAAUACAUUAACUAGCUCA
Molecule: long non-coding RNA, 1461 nt
Filed under: Numida meleagris (helmeted guineafowl)
Lineage: Eukaryota; Metazoa; Chordata; Aves; Galliformes; Numididae
Description: lncRNA (ENSNMEG00000010849.1)
Source: RNAcentral